RNAcentral lists this ribosomal RNA (455 nucleotides) under Streptococcus sp. oral taxon 056. RNAcentral describes it as "bacterial SSU rRNA". It matches the Rfam family "Bacterial small subunit ribosomal RNA", at positions 38 to 477 of the family's 1533-position model. The record is from RNAcentral. Lineage: Bacteria; Bacillati; Bacillota; Bacilli; Lactobacillales; Streptococcaceae.
GGCGGCGUGCCUAAUACAUGCAAGUAGAACGCUGAAGGAGGAGCUUGCUCUUCUGGAAGAGUUGCGAACGGGUGAGUAACGCGUAGGUAACCUGCCUGGUAGCGGGGGAUAACUAUUGGAAACGAUAGCUAAUACCGCAUAAGAUUGAAUAUCGCAUGAUAAUUGAUUAAAAGAUGCAAUUGCAUCACUACCAGAUGGACCUGCGUUGUAUUAGCUAGUAGGUGAGGUAACGGCUCACCUAGGCGACGAUACAUAGCCGGCCUGAGAGGGUGAUCGGCCACACUGGGACUGAGACACGGCCCAGACUCCUACGGGAGGCAGCAGUAGGGAAUCUUCGGCAAUGGGGGCAACCCUGACCGAGCAACGCCGCGUGAGUGAAGAAGGUUUUCGGAUCGUAAAGCUCUGUUGUAAGAGAAGAACGAGUGUGAGAGUGGAAAGUUCACACUGUGACGGAU